CUACGGGAGGCUCCAGCGAGGAAUAUUGCACAAUGGGGGGAACCCUGAUGCAGCAACGCCGCGUGGAGGAUGACGCAUUUCGGUGUGUAAACUCCUUUUAUAUGUCAAGAAAAUGACGGUAGCAUAUGAAUAAGCACCGGCUAACUCCGUGCCAGCAGCCGCGGUAAUACGGAGGGUGCAAGCGUUACUCGGAAUCACUGGGCGUAAAGGACGCGUAGGCGGGUUGGAAAGUCAGGUGUGAAAUCCUACAGCUUAACUGUAGAACUGCACUUGAAACUUCUAAUCUAGAGUAUGGGAGGGGGAGAUGGAAUUAGUGGUGUAGGGGUAAAAUCCGUAGAUAUCACUAGGAAUACCUAAAGCGAAGGCGAUCUCCUGGAACAUUACUGACGCUAAGGCGUAAAAGCGUGGGGAGCAAACAGGAUUAGAUACCCGGGUAGUC
Molecule: ribosomal RNA, 439 nt
Filed under: uncultured bacterium
Lineage: Bacteria
Description: partial 16S ribosomal RNA
Rfam family: Bacterial small subunit ribosomal RNA
Source: RNAcentral